This 1524-nucleotide long non-coding RNA is filed under the name Equus asinus (donkey). RNAcentral's name for it is "lncRNA (ENSEASG00005030210.1)". The record is from RNAcentral. Lineage: Eukaryota; Metazoa; Chordata; Mammalia; Perissodactyla; Equidae.
GUCAAAUUAACAAACAGAAACCUCAUUAAAUUGGAGUCAGGAGGCCAAGAGGGGGAGCUCUCAGGCCCUACAUGGACAGCAGAGCCCAGCAGGAAGAAGAAAGACUUCCUCUUGUUGACUGGCUGGAAGCUCGGCCAAUGAGAGGCUGUCACAACGCAGCGAGUGAAAAGCCCCGCCCCUCUGGACUCUGUUUGCAACAGCCUUUCCGACUGCGGCUUUGCUGUAGGAAGGAGCUUCUGCUCCCUUGCUGCUGGGGGACUUGCACGUGGCUUGCCAAGGAAGAUUGGCCCUGAGCUUACAUCUGUUCCCAUCUUCCUCUACUUUAUAUGUGGGAUGCCUGCCACAGCAUGGUUUGAUAAGCAGUGUGUAGUUCCACAACCAAGAUCCAGGAUGGUGAACCUUGGGCCGCCAAUGCAAAGCACACAAACUUAACAGCUACGCGCCACCAGGCCAGCCCCUUUUUACUGAACCAGGUUCGUGUUUGCCCCCCUCCACUCCUCCCCCCGAGAAAGCCAAACAGUGAGAUGACAACAUCACAGCAGAGAGAGGGUUUACUUCCAAGGCAGCCAAGUGAGGAAGUGGGAGCAUGAGCCCCAAAUUUGCUUCCCCAAAAAAAGGGACUCAGUGAUAUUUAUGGGAUGGGGCAAGGUGGUCUGAAAUGUGGAGAGAGGUGAUUGGAGGUGAGGAGAGGUGAGGUAAUCCAUGAUCUGCGCAAGCAUAGUCAGACUCCAUGCCUCUUCAUAGGACCCAUGUUCACAAAAUGGUGGUGUUAGCAUGAUCAGAGGGUGGAGUUUUUAGCUUCUUGAUGUCAAAAGGUCGCCUAUCAGAUAUCUGUGUGGGCCCAGUUGAGGGGUUGGUGGCCUCAACUGGCCUGAAGUGGACAAGGAGUUCUAAUUCCUGAAAAACAGCUCACACACCCAUUACCAUGGUGACCCAGGCUCCAGGGAGAUGUUAUCUGUAGGAGCCUGGGGGGAGUCAGGUAGCAGAUUGCCUAAGCAGCACAGUUAACAAUGGGUGGGCUACACAGCUAAAACCUGUAAUCAGUAACUGCAAAAAGGAAAAAACUUGAGUACCUAGAUGCUUAAUCAUCAAUGGCUGUUUGCCGGUUUCACCCUCAAACAAUAUUUCUAGUCAAAGGCAAUCCUUAGGAAAUAGACUACUUUUCUAUGACGCCCUCCUGAUUUUAUCACAGUAUAAAAAUGAUGUUAGCAUAAUGUUCUAGUCUAUGCAAAAUUUGCUUUAUUUUCUCACAGAAAGGAUAAUCAAUCUGAACUCUAUAUAUUUCCUAUACUGUUUUUAUUCAUUUUAAACUAACAUUGUUUUCAUAAAUGUUUGAGAAUGUGAAAAUGUAAACAUUUGUGUUCAACCAAAUUGAAUUAUAUAAUCAAAAUCUUCAUGAAAAGAAUUGAUUUUGGACUUCAGACAUGCUGCAAAUUAUGUGAAUCUGCAGAGGUACUCUAAUCAAAGUAUGGAAAUUCUAAAAAUAAUUUUUUAUGAUAAUUUUAAUAUCAAUAGUGAUUGCAG